AACGAACGCUGGCGGCAGGCCUAACACAUGCAAGUCGAGCGAGACCUUCGGGUCUAGCGGCGGACGGGUGAGUAACGCGUGGGAACGUGCCCUUUUCUACGGAAUAGCCUCGGGAAACUGAGCGUAAUACCGUAUACGCCCUUUGGGGGAAAGAUUUAUCGGAGAAGGAUCGGCCCGCGUUGGAUUAGGUAGUUGGUGGGGUAAUGGCCUACCAAGCCUACGAUCCAUAGCUGGUUUGAGAGGAUGAUCAGCCACACUGGGACUGAGACACGGCCCAGACUCCUACGGGAGGCAGCAGUGGGGAAUCUUAGACAAUGGGGGCAACCCUGAUCUAGCCAUGCCGCGUGAGUGAUGAAGGCCUUAGGGUUGUAAAGCUCUUUCAGCUGGGAAGAUAAUGACGGGACCAGCAGAAGAAGCCCCGGCUAACUCCGU
RNAcentral lists this ribosomal RNA (432 nucleotides) under uncultured bacterium. RNAcentral's name for it is "partial 16S ribosomal RNA". It matches the Rfam family "Bacterial small subunit ribosomal RNA", at positions 29 to 506 of the family's 1533-position model. The record is from RNAcentral.